This is a long non-coding RNA of Tympanuchus pallidicinctus (lesser prairie-chicken), 2781 nucleotides long. RefSeq lists it as uncharacterized. NCBI's taxonomy places the organism in Eukaryota, Metazoa, Chordata, Aves, Galliformes, Phasianidae. The transcript is spliced from 5 exons. The record is from RefSeq and is a predicted model, not a curated record.
GUAGAAACCAUUUGUCACGCAGACUAGAGAGGUGUUUUCCGUGCAGCGGCUCUGAACGUGGGGCCGUACCCUUCUGGGCCACCCCGUUUGAGCCGAGCAGUGGUACCGGCGGGCGGGGGGGCCCGGGGCCGUGCUAUGGGAACGCGGGUGGCCGCGGCUGUAAGGGGCACUUCUCGGUUUGUAAAACUGCUGAGCUGGCAGUGACUUGUCUCGUGCUUUGUCCUGCGUAGGGAAUGGCUCGCGGAAACGCAGCGCGUGUGCACCGCGGAGCUCCUGGUGCGUGGCUGCUCCUGGCUACACCAGCUGCCCUGGCACCGGAGGGAACGGGCCCCUUCACCAACGUGUGUUGUGGGGUAAAGCCCUCAGAAUACUGUGGGUGCGUGGAAUGCGUGAGGCUUUGCCUAUUGCCAGCAGCACGUAGCCCUGUUAUGCUGUUAGUCUUUCUUUCCGUCUUCACGGAGGGAGCUGAGAACAUUCACGUCAUGCUGUUUUCUUCCUCCUUCCUCAGAGAAGGGUUUGCUCACGUGCUUUGUUUUGGCAAUUGGCAUUAUUUCCUUCGGUGUACGCAUUUAUGUAUGUUUAUGUAGAAGUAAGUGUCUACAAAUACAGUGUGCUCGUGCAGAGUUCAUGGUGGUGAGACUUGCUUAGCUCUGUGCCCUAACCUCGUCUCCUGCCCAGAUGAGCGCUGUGCUCCUGGCUGCGUCUUGAAUGUGAGGAACAGAGCUGUCAUCCAGAAAUGCUGUGCUGAGGUCAACAGGAAGGGGGCCCAAGACCUGAGGUUUUACUCAGCAGUCUCUGAGGACGCAAAGCAGAAAGCAGAAACAGAUGUCUGAUAGGGACUGAAUGUGGGAUGGAAAUGUGCAGUGGUCACUGAUGAAAAGUAUAUUUGCUCCCAGGUAGAAUACAGAGAUACUCAUACAUGCUUUUCAGAGAGAUGAGAAACAGCAAUUCUGGAGCAACUGUCAGCAGUUCUGUUAGCAACUGCCACUGUGCUAGUAACUACCAUUUAUUAUACUACUACUACACCUGCAUGACAUUUAUUAAAACAAUUAUUAAGACAGAGGCAUUAACUACAUUUAUACUUGCAUCCUCUAAGCAUCUUGCUUUAUAACACCCACCCUACCAAAAAUCAUUGUUCUGACUUGAGAUUCAUUGAGGAAGACAGUUCCUCCAUCAAGUGGUAAGGAAUGUUACAGUGCUGGCUCUGAGUGUAGAUGGAUCUAAUUCGGCUGUUUUUGAAAUGUAUGAUUCCCUAAAUACGUUUAACCUUCUGUCUGACAUGUUGCCCUUACUGCAAGGAAAAUUUAUCAUUUCCAUAUUUUUUUAUAAAUAGGAUGAAGAUGUUAAUAGUUGCUAAAUUUACAGCAUAAAAACCAACCAUUCUGUUUCUUUUACCAUCCCUCUUGAAUCAGCAGGCUCCUGGAGCCCUUUGUCCAUAGCUUCUAAAGAAAUAAGUCCAAAAUUUUAAUUUCACUUCCCACUGCAAGUGUUAUCUUAGUUGUUGAGUAAGACCCAGUCUCCCUGCAGGAAGCUGUUAUUAAUUCUAAUUUGAUGAAGCCUUCAUUUUCAACAGUAAUUAUAAUUAUCACCCAGUGUCUACUCACUCUCUUUCUUAGCAGGGGGGAAUAAUGGUACUGAUGGGAAUAAGAGCUCUCUUCCCUUCUCAUUGAGCAUAACUAUCCUUCUUUUUUCUUUGUUUAUAUCAAACUUUUCAAAGCAUCACAGCAUAGAAAUGCCAGUGGACAGCUACCAUCGUAAUUACCUGAUGUACAUUAUUUCUGCAAUCUAGACUGGUAAUACACACACUUCCGAAAAAAAUUCUAAAUGGAUUUGGAAUUGUGAGGCUGUUGGUAAUCAUACUCUGGUAAAGUCUGCAGCAGUGACUUGCAACAUGUGCAGAUAGUGCAGCAUGGAAGCAGAACAUGGAUCCAGCGUGAAUUCUGUCACAAGAUCUCAAGAUGUCAGUGUCUGUUUUGCUGCUGGGACAGAAGGAUGUCACAAGCAGGAAACUCAAAGUCCACUUGCAGAUUGAGGCAGACUCUCCAUGACUUUCUGUUGACAGAAGAAAGGACUGAACUCCUUGAUGGCACCUAAGAGAAGCUUGAAAGAAGGUGAUUAAGAAGAUCACAGCUAUAGGACACCUGUACUUCUGUGAGCUUUGUGUUUUUAGUAACAAUGGACCAUCCUGUGAUCUACAAAACAAAACUUUGAUGGAAGUCUAGAAGAGUCAGGUCUUCACCUGGCUUUGAUCAACUGACGUUUGAUAUGACAGAAGGACUUGUAUCACUCAUCUUAGAGUGACACCCUUUCAGGCAAUAACGCCAAUUCUCACUUUUGAUCCUCCUCAAUGUCCAGUUCCAAAAUCACUGACUUAGCUUGUGGAACUUGAAGAGUAACUCAGUCCUUGCCCUGACAAGAAAUAGUCACCUCAGCAAACCUCAAGAUUUCCCCAGUCUCUCUAGGGAAAGCUGCCAACACUCCUGAAUUGGCUGAAUGUUCUCUGCCUUCUUCAGCACUGCAAUAAAAAGCACAGAGCAGGAGGGUCAGAACCAUUCCUAAACCCAGCCAAAUAUUGUGAAGAAGGCUGAUCAGGUCAUCUUAAUGAACACAGGUCUUUCCUGAGUGUCACUGAGGUGCUUCUAGAAAAAAAUUAAAAAAAAAAAGCACAGAGAAUUUUUACAUGUAGAAAUGGCUAAUAUGGAUUGAAUAGAGAUAGGGAUAAAGAUCACUUUCAUGUUUGCUUGACAUGUUUUUCCUCAUCUAAGUAAAAUACACUCUAAA